AGUUCAAGGAAGAUUGAAACCGUUCAGGGGUAAACCUGAGAAACCCGAAAGGUCGAAAGGGGAAAUUCAUUCGCGUUUCGGCCGUCGGCGGAGAAUGGUCGUGUGACGGAUGGCUCUCGGGUCGUCUGCGCCUUCUGUUUUUCGAACCGGCGUCGAACGCGUGCACUUUUCCCCUAGUAGGACGUCGCGAUCCGUUGGGUGUCGGUCUAAGGCCCGCGGUGGAGCCCGUGCGAUCGGCUUGCCGUUUCGUGCGGACCCGUGGUGUCCCGGCCGACUCGCUCGACGGUAUACAGAUGGCGCGGGGCCGCUAUUCAGUUAGCGUCCGGCCCGUGGCAAGCGCGCUGGGUGUGCUGGCGAUCGGACCUAGUGCCGGUCCUGGCCCCCAGUGACUGUUGGCCACGGUGUUCUCGGACAGACCUCGUUGAAACGCCGAUCUGCGACGCUAUAGCUUUGGGUACUUUCAGGACCCGUCUUGAA
RNAcentral lists this ribosomal RNA (477 nucleotides) under Rhynchitomacerinus kuscheli. RNAcentral describes it as "eukaryotic LSU rRNA". Lineage: Eukaryota; Metazoa; Arthropoda; Insecta; Coleoptera; Nemonychidae. The record is from RNAcentral.